CCUACGGGUGGCAGCAGUGAGGAAUAUUGGUCAAUGGGCGGAAGCCUGAACCAGCCAAGUAGCGUGCAGGAUGACUGCCCUACGGGUUGUAAACUGCUUUUAUACAGGAAUAAAGCGCGUUACGUGUGCGUUUUUGCAUGUACUUUAUGAAUAAGGAUCGGCUAACUCCGUGCCAGCAGCCGCGGUAAUACGGAGGGUCCGAGCGUUAUCCGGAUUUAUUGGGUUUAAAGGGAGCGUAGAUGGUUUGUUAAGUCAGUUGUGAAAUUUUGGGGCUCAACCGUAACAUUGCAGUGGGUACUGGCGGUCUUGAGUACAGAUGAGGUAGGCAGAAUUCGUGGUGUAGCGGUGAAAUGCUUAGAUAUCACGAAGAACUCCGAUUGCGAAGGCAGCUUACUAAACUGCCACUGACAUUGAUGCUCGAAAGUGUGGGUAUCAAACAGGAUUAGAUACCCCAGUAGUC
This 460-nucleotide ribosomal RNA is filed under the name uncultured bacterium. RNAcentral's name for it is "partial 16S ribosomal RNA". It matches the Rfam family "Bacterial small subunit ribosomal RNA", at positions 338 to 795 of the family's 1533-position model. The record is from RNAcentral.